UGGGGAAUAUUGCACAAUGGGGGAAACCCUGAUGCAGCGACGCCGCGUGAGCGAAGAAGGUUUUCGAAUCGUAAAGCUCUGUCCUAUGGGAAGAUAAUGACGGUACCAUAGGAGGAAGCCCCGGCUAACUACGUGCCAGCAGCCGCGGUAAUACGUAGGGGGCAAGCGUUGUCCGGAAUCACUGGGCGUAAAGGGUUCGCAGGCGGAAAUGCAAGUCAGUUGUGAAAGGCAGAGGCCCAACCUCUGUAAGCAAUUGAAACUGUAUUUCUUGAGAUGUGGAGAGGCAAGUGGAAUUCCUAGUGUAGCGGUGAAAUGCGUAGAUAUUAGGAAGAAUACCGGUGGCGAAGGCGACUUGCUGGACACAAACUGACGCUGAGGAACGAAAGCGUGGGUAGCAAACAGG
RNAcentral lists this ribosomal RNA (403 nucleotides) under Verrucomicrobiota bacterium. Its description in RNAcentral is "Verrucomicrobia bacterium partial 16S ribosomal RNA". It matches the Rfam family "Bacterial small subunit ribosomal RNA", at positions 355 to 776 of the family's 1533-position model. Lineage: Bacteria; Pseudomonadati; Verrucomicrobiota. The record is from RNAcentral.